RNAcentral lists this ribosomal RNA (853 nucleotides) under Bacillus tequilensis. RNAcentral describes it as "bacterial SSU rRNA". It matches the Rfam family "Bacterial small subunit ribosomal RNA", at positions 77 to 913 of the family's 1533-position model. Lineage: Bacteria; Bacillati; Bacillota; Bacilli; Caryophanales; Bacillaceae. The record is from RNAcentral.
AGCUUGCUCCCUGAUGUUAGCGGCGGACGGGUGAGUAACACGUGGGUAACCUGCCUGUAAGACUGGGAUAACUCCGGGAAACCGGGGCUAAUACCGGAUGGUUGUUUGAACCGCAUGGUUCAAACAUAAAAGGUGGCUUCGGCUACCACUUACAGAUGGACCCGCGGCGCAUUAGCUAGUUGGUGAGGUAACGGCUCACCAAGGCAACGAUGCGUAGCCGACCUGAGAGGGUGAUCGGCCACACUGGGACUGAGACACGGCCCAGACUCCUACGGGAGGCAGCAGUAGGGAAUCUUCCGCAAUGGACGAAAGUCUGACGGAGCAACGCCGCGUGAGUGAUGAAGGUUUUCGGAUCGUAAAGCUCUGUUGUUAGGGAAGAACAAGUACCGUUCGAAUAGGGCGGUACCUUGACGGUACCUAACCAGAAAGCCACGGCUAACUACGUGCCAGCAGCCGCGGUAAUACGUAGGUGGCAAGCGUUGUCCGGAAUUAUUGGGCGUAAAGGGCUCGCAGGCGGUUUCUUAAGUCUGAUGUGAAAGCCCCCGGCUCAACCGGGGAGGGUCAUUGGAAACUGGGGAACUUGAGUGCAGAAGAGGAGAGUGGAAUUCCACGUGUAGCGGUGAAAUGCGUAGAGAUGUGGAGGAACACCAGUGGCGAAGGCGACUCUCUGGUCUGUAACUGACGCUGAGGAGCGAAAGCGUGGGGAGCGAACAGGAUUAGAUACCCUGGUAGUCCACGCCGUAAACGAUGAGUGCUAAGUGUUAGGGGGUUUCCGCCCCUUAGUGCUGCAGCUAACGCAUUAAGCACUCCGCCUGGGGAGUACGGUCGCAAGACUGAAACUCAAAGGAAUUGA